CCAACCGGGAUUGCCCUAGUAACGGCGAGUGAAGCGGCAACAGCUCAAAUUUGAAAUCUGGCUUCGGCCCGAAUUGUAAUUGGCAGAGGAUGCAUCGGGAGACGACCUGUUCCAAGUCCGCUGGAACGCGGCGUCCUAGAGGGUGAGAAUCCCGUACGUGAGCGGUGUCUGCUCCCAUGUGAUGCUCCUUCGACGAGUCGAGUUGUUUGGGAAUGCAGCUCUAAAUGGGUGGUAUAUUUCAUCUAAAGCUAAAUACCGGCCAGAGACCGAUAGCGCACAAGUAGAGUGAUCGAAAGAUGAAAAGCACUUUGGAAAGAGAGUUAAACAGUACGUGAAAUUGUUGAAAGGGAAGCGCUUGCAGCCAGACUCGCCCGGGGUGCUCAGCCGUUCUUUGGGACGGUGUACUCAUCUUCGGGCGGGCCAGCAUCGGUUCGGGCGGCUGGAUAAAGACCCUGGGAACGUAGCUCUCUACGGGGAGUGUUAUAGCCCGGGGUGUAAUACGGCCAGCCUGGACCGAGGACCGCGCUUCGGCAAGGAUGCUGGCGUAAUGGCUGUCAGCGACCCGUCUUGAAACACGGACCAAGGAGUGCUCCAUCGGUGCGAGUGUUUGGGCGAAAAACCCACACGCGCAAUGAAAGUGAACGGAGGUGAGAGCCUUAGGGUGCAUCAUCGACCGAUCCUGAUGUCUUCGGAUGGAUUUGAGUAAGAGCAUCGCUGGAGUGACCCGAAAGAUGGUGAACUAUGCGCGGAUAGGGUGAAGCCAGAGGAAACUCUGGUGGAAGCUCGUAGGGGUUCUGACGUGCAAAUCGAUCUUAAAAUCUACGCAUAGGGGCGAAAGACUUAUCGAACCAUUCGUUACGUGAGUUAUAGCGACAAGCUACUGGGUGGUUAAGUGUGGGCAAGUAAUUGCUAGCAAGUACCUCAUCUUAGGUGCGAGACCGUCAAAUUGCGGGGACGUCCUAAAGCCUCUGUUACCGCCCAUCCCAGGAAACUGGGGUGCGGCACCAGGGAGAGAAACCCUGGGUAUGGUAAAAAGACAGUGGAUGUUACAAUGGAUAAUCGCGCAGCCAAGUCCUAAGUCGGUUCUCCGAUAUGGAUGCAGUUCAUCGACUAGAUGGCGGCCGGCCUCAUAUUGAGGCUUAAGGUAUAGUCAGGCCCCCGGGAGACCGGGGCGUGUACGCUAAAUCCACGAUCAUAAGAUGCUCCUUCGGGGGUGGUUGUGGACCUGAACGGCACGUUCCUAGGUGGCCUUUUAAUGGCCCCUAGCGGAGACAUACAAGGAAGUUCUGGCCUAUCUGCCUAGAAUCUCUUGAAACGCUAGUAGCUGGUUCCUGCCGAAGUUUCGUAAGUACACCUAUUUUCUACCCCAAAUGUUGGGGCAGAUUUUGGGGGACUUGCAAAGCAAUAAUUGGGGGGUUUUUUUCAAGUUCACAAAAAAAAUUGUCAAGAAAAAUGAACUUGAAUAAGAAACUUGCCUGUUGUUGCUUGCAGGUCUCCUAGAUCUGCUCUACAGAUGUUAAAUGUAGUGAAUACAAGCUAACAGUUAAACAGCCUCAGGAUAGCAGUGACGUUUUCAGUUUUAUGAGGUAAAGCGAAUGAUUAGUGGCUCGGGGGCUUUUUCUUGCCUUCACCAAUUCUCAAACUUUAAAUAUGUAAGACGCCCUUGUUACUUAGUUGAACGUGGGCUUUGAAU
Molecule: ribosomal RNA, 1693 nt
Filed under: Cryptodiscus cladoniicola
Lineage: Eukaryota; Fungi; Ascomycota; Lecanoromycetes; Ostropales; Stictidaceae
Description: eukaryotic LSU rRNA
Rfam family: Eukaryotic large subunit ribosomal RNA
Source: RNAcentral